This 353-nucleotide ribosomal RNA is filed under the name Trichoniscus pusillus. Its description in RNAcentral is "D3 expansion segment of 23S-like rRNA". Lineage: Eukaryota; Metazoa; Arthropoda; Malacostraca; Isopoda; Trichoniscidae. The record is from RNAcentral.
UCUAGAAUAUGCGCGAGUCAAAGGGCUGGCUAAACCCUAAGGCGAAACGAAAGUGAUCGGAUGCGCGACGUGUGUGCUUCGGGCGACCACUGACUAUAUCCAUGGACCGAUCCGGUUGCGGGGCUUCAAACCCCCGCUUAACMUCUUCGGAGGACGGCGCAGGUCCGGGGCUCGCCAUCCUCCUCCCCGCCACCAACGCUCACGUCGGCACCAGCCGCGGUUUAGUCGAGGCUCUCUUCCCUUUUUUUCCGUCCCUCGGGGCGGGUCUUAAGGGAGUCGAGAGUCGAGCGAUCGCGGCGUGUCGGCUCGCGGGCGGGGACGAACGGCGGGUACCUUGAGCGCAUAUUCUAGUA